CUACGGAGGAUGCGAGCGUUAUCCGGAUUUAUUGGGUUUAAAGGGUGCGCAGGCGGGCGAUUAAGUCAGCGGUGAAAGGCUCGGGCUCAACCGGAGCAGUGCCGUUGAUACUGGUUGUCUUGAAUGCGGUCAAGGCCGGCGGAAUGUGGCGUGUAGCGGUGAAAUGCAUAGAUAUGCCACAGAACACCGAUAGCGAAGGCAGCUGGCCGGGCCUGCAUUGACGCUCAGGCACGAAAGCGUGGGGAUCGAACAGGAUUAGAUACCCUGGUAGUCCACGCUGUAAACGAUGGACACUCGUUGUCGGCGACAGACAGUCGGCGGCCAAGCGAAAGUGAUAAGUGUCCCACCUGGGGAGUACGGUCGCAAGGCUGAAACUUAAAGGAAUUGACGGGG
Molecule: ribosomal RNA, 393 nt
Filed under: uncultured bacterium
Lineage: Bacteria
Description: partial 16S ribosomal RNA
Rfam family: Bacterial small subunit ribosomal RNA
Source: RNAcentral